Dioscorea cayenensis subsp. rotundata (Guinea yam) is the source of this 106-nucleotide small nucleolar RNA. The record is from RefSeq and is a predicted model, not a curated record. NCBI's taxonomy places the organism in Eukaryota, Viridiplantae, Streptophyta, Magnoliopsida, Dioscoreales, Dioscoreaceae.
ACAUAAGUUGUGUUCUUUGCUGUAAAUAUGGGCAUAAAGCAAUUGGUGGAAUUUAGGUGGGCCUUUUGCUAAGUGUAGAAGACCCAUAAAGGACUACCUUACAUUG